RNAcentral lists this ribosomal RNA (667 nucleotides) under Streptomyces sp. MS7-1. RNAcentral's name for it is "bacterial SSU rRNA". It matches the Rfam family "Bacterial small subunit ribosomal RNA", at positions 58 to 742 of the family's 1533-position model. The record is from RNAcentral. Lineage: Bacteria; Bacillati; Actinomycetota; Actinomycetes; Kitasatosporales; Streptomycetaceae.
CAAGUCGACGAUGAACCACUUCGGUGGGGAUUAGUGGCGAACGGGUGAGUAACACGUGGGCAAUCUGCCCUGCACUCUGGGACAAGCCCUGGAAACGGGGUCUAAUACCGGAUACUGAACCUUACAGGCAUCUGUGAGGGUCGAAAGCUCCGGCGGUGCAGGAUGAGCCCGCGGCCUAUCAGCUAGUUGGUGAGGUAAUGGCUCACCAAGGCGACGACGGGUAGCCGGCCUGAGAGGGCGACCGGCCACACUGGGACUGAGACACGGCCCAGACUCCUACGGGAGGCAGCAGUGGGGAAUAUUGCACAAUGGGCGAAAGCCUGAUGCAGCGACGCCGCGUGAGGGAUGACGGCCUUCGGGUUGUAAACCUCUUUCAGCAGGGAAGAAGCGAAAGUGACGGUACCUGCAGAAGAAGCGCCGGCUAACUACGUGCCAGCAGCCGCGGUAAUACGUAGGGCGCAAGCGUUGUCCGGAAUUAUUGGGCGUAAAGAGCUCGUAGGCGGCUUGUCACGUCGGUUGUGAAAGCCCGGGGCUUAACCCCGGGUCUGCAGUCGAUACGGGCAGGCUAGAGUUCGGUAGGGGAGAUCGGAAUUCCUGGUGUAGCGGUGAAAUGCGCAGAUAUCAGGAGGAACACCGGUGGCGAAGGCGGAUCUCUGGGCCGAUACUG